UAGGGAAUCUUCCGCAAUGGACGCAAGUCUGACGGAGCAACGCCGCGUGAGUGAAGAAGGAUUUCGGUUCGUAAAACUCUGUUGUUAGAGAAGAACAGCGCAUAGAGUAACUGUUAUGCGUGUGACGGUAUCUAACCAGAAAGCCACGGCUAACUACGUGCCAGCAGCCGCGGUAAUACGUAGGUGGCAAGCGUUGUCCGGAUUUAUUGGGCGUAAAGCGAGCGCAGGCGGUCAAUUAAGUCUGAUGUGAAAGCCCCCGGCUCAACCGGGGAGGGUCAUUGGAAACUGGUUGACUUUAGUGCAGAAGAGGAGAGUGGAAUUCCAUGUGUAGCGGUGAAAUGCGUAGAUAUAUGGAGGAACACCAGUGGCGAAGGCGACUCUCUGGUCUGUAACUGACGCUGAGGCUCGAAAGCGUGGGUAGCAAACAGG
Molecule: ribosomal RNA, 429 nt
Filed under: Bacteroidota bacterium
Lineage: Bacteria; Pseudomonadati; Bacteroidota
Description: Bacteroidetes bacterium partial 16S ribosomal RNA
Rfam family: Bacterial small subunit ribosomal RNA
Source: RNAcentral